Molecule: long non-coding RNA, 602 nt
Organism: Stegodyphus dumicola
Lineage: Eukaryota; Metazoa; Arthropoda; Arachnida; Araneae; Eresidae
Source: RefSeq, a predicted model, not a curated record
GUGUUUCGACGGGCAUAGGAUGAGGUCUUGUGAUUCAGGCUUGGAGAGUGACCACGGUCUUUUUUGGUGUCUUGAGGGAAAACUCCGUUUCCAAAGGAAGGUCAAGCCCGAUUUAGGCUUAACGCUGUCUGGACUGGGGAUGCGAACUGGUCGUGCGGGUGCUGGUCGAUGCGGACUUUUUCUCUACGCUCAAGUUUUUAUUCGAAUUAAGUUGGGGUUUUAUGUUUCUUCUCUACAACCAACUUGAGCGGAUAGUGCAACUGUGAAAAGUUUUCCAAGCAGCGCAAAUACCGCUCCGAGAAGGCUGAUAUCUUCUGUAAAGGUACUCUACGACUAAAGCAGGAAGUUGUAUUGACAGACAUUUGCGAAUGGAAAAUGUCAAGUCAUCACCGAAAGAGAAUGCCAUUUUCCUGGUGAGUUCUUUGAUUUCAUCCGCAAUGGUGCGUUCAGGUUUCGUAACGGCGACGCCGCUUUAUUUUCCAGCUCUGAAAAAGGCUCGAAUAUUGGGGUCAUAUUUUGUGUUGUUGGAACUGGUGAGAUAGAUUUUUGCUCGAAAUAUUGUUGACUUUGGUGUCUGGGUAGCGUUAAAAAAAAAAAAAAAA